CCAUUGGUGGUGUAUGGCACACACACAGUCACCUUGUAAAGCCUUUCCAUUUAAUAAAUAGUGAUUGAGUCCGGGGUUUGAUUCCCCGCUGGUGCA
Mycena galericulata is the source of this 96-nucleotide non-coding RNA. NCBI's taxonomy places the organism in Eukaryota, Fungi, Basidiomycota, Agaricomycetes, Agaricales, Mycenaceae. The record is from the annotation of a GenBank genome assembly.